RNAcentral lists this ribosomal RNA (54 nucleotides) under Gloeochaete wittrockiana. RNAcentral's name for it is "partial Eukaryotic large subunit ribosomal RNA". Lineage: Eukaryota; Glaucocystophyceae; Gloeochaetales; Gloeochaetaceae. The record is from RNAcentral.
UAUCUAAUUAGUGACGCGCACGAAUGGAUUAAUGAGGUUCCCACGCCCCUAUCG